AUUCAUUAAUGAGAACUCAAGGAAAGAGAGGAAUGGGGCUCAGCGCAUGGAGUGCGUGAAAACGGGAGUCAGGGUCUCCAGCCCCUAUUCCAAUACUCAGGGCAAAGACUGGCUCACAGUCUUUGUGUCCUGGACCCACCCCCUUGGCUGCAGCUGCCGUGUGGUGAUUGCUCUGAACUCCCUACCUGUUCAGCUACUGGCCGCCUGUGGAAUGGGUG
Long non-coding RNA from Manis pentadactyla (Chinese pangolin), 218 nucleotides. RefSeq lists it as uncharacterized. The transcript is spliced from 4 exons. The record is from RefSeq and is a predicted model, not a curated record. Lineage: Eukaryota; Metazoa; Chordata; Mammalia; Pholidota; Manidae.